GGGGGGGAAGUAACAGAGUUUCUACCGUUACCAUUCCGUGGUAGACUCUGGUAAUCGUCACAUUUGGCUAUCAUUGAUCCAAGCUGUACAAUAAUUGCAACAAUAGUCCUGUCUAGAGUACCAACUUUAGGAGGAAAAACAAUUCAAAAAUGGUUGUAAUUUGGUACUUGAUGAAUCCCCACCCCCGUGACGAACUUUGAUCAUGAUAGAUUUUAAGACCAUAAGUCCAAUUUAUUCCAACUCGUCUAGUCCAACUUUAAGGGAAGAGAAGGCAAGGAACCAGAGAAGUGGGAAUAUAAGUAGAAGUGAGGUGACAAGCAUAUUCCAAUACUCAGUCAAAGGCGUAACUUAGUUUCCCCCACAUAUAUUCCACAAAGGUAUUGUUAAAUACCAAAUGUAUUGAAGCCGCCUAUCAUACAAUUCCAAACAGAAACAUUCAUCUUUCUGUCUCUGGGAUCAUUAUUAUUUCACUUUACAUCCAUGCACCAUGAAACCCUUAAUAAGCUGUCAAUUGCGUUACUUCCCCACCCCCACCCACAUAUUUUCCUGAAUAAGAGUAAUAUAAACAACAGAACAUACUACCUGAUAAAGUACUUUCAUACCUCUUGAGCAGAUUGAGAAGUUUGUGGAGCCACAACUGCAACAU
This 646-nucleotide long non-coding RNA is filed under the name Nicotiana benthamiana. RNAcentral describes it as "long non-coding RNA (NBEN_LNC002441)". The record is from RNAcentral. Lineage: Eukaryota; Viridiplantae; Streptophyta; Magnoliopsida; Solanales; Solanaceae.